Molecule: ribosomal RNA, 460 nt
Filed under: uncultured bacterium
Lineage: Bacteria
Description: bacterial SSU rRNA
Rfam family: Bacterial small subunit ribosomal RNA
Source: RNAcentral
ACUCCUACGGGAGGCAGCAGUGGGGAAUAUUGCACAAUGGGCGCAAGCCUGAUGCAGCCAUGCCGCGUGUAUGAAGAAGGCCUUCGGGUUGUAAAGUACUUUCAGCAGUGAGGAAGGUGGAUAUGUUAAUAGCAUAUUCAUUUGACGUUAGCUGCAGAAGAAGCACCGGCUAACUCCGUGCCAGCAGCCGCGGUAAUACGGAGGGUGCGAGCGUUAAUCGGAAUUACGUGGCGUAAAGCGCAUGCAGGUGGUUUGUUAAGUCAGAUGUGAAAGCCCGGGGCUCAACCUCGGAAUUGCAUUUGAAACUGGACAACUAGAGUACUGGUAGAGGGGGUAGAAUUUCAGGUGUAGCGGUGAAAUGCGUAGAGAUCUGAAGGAAGUACCGGUGGCGAACGGCGGCCCCCGUGGACAGAUACUGACACUCAGAUGCGAAAGCGUGGGAGCAAACGAGGAUUAGAUA